This 23-nucleotide non-coding RNA is filed under the name Mus musculus (house mouse). The record is from RNAcentral. RNAcentral also lists the same sequence under 1 other name. Lineage: Eukaryota; Metazoa; Chordata; Mammalia; Rodentia; Muridae.
AUAUAAUACAACCUGCUAAGUGU